GGAGGGCGCCCCCGCCGCCAUGGGCCGGGCGACAGCGGGGCCCCAGCGGUUCCCCGGGCGCCCCGCAGCGAGGACCGGGCAGACGGAUCUUUUCCCUUUUCUCCACGGAGCUGCAGAAGAAACUCAGGAAGUUCUCUCAAUUGUAUUUCUGCCAAAGAAACUGCAGAGUCAGCCACCAAGCUCAAAACAAUUUAAGUACACUGGAUAGGAAAGUCACAGACAGAUAAAACCUGAGAAUGCAAGUGAAAAGUACUGGGGAAUUGUAAAUGCCUAUUUAAAGUCAUGAAAACAAAAUCCAGAGGAGGGCAGCCCUUGUUAGUGGGAGGACGGAACGUAGCUUAUGUG
Long non-coding RNA from Vidua macroura (Pin-tailed whydah), 345 nucleotides. RefSeq lists it as uncharacterized. The transcript is spliced from 3 exons. Lineage: Eukaryota; Metazoa; Chordata; Aves; Passeriformes; Viduidae. The record is from RefSeq and is a predicted model, not a curated record.